This 823-nucleotide ribosomal RNA is filed under the name uncultured bacterium. RNAcentral describes it as "bacterial SSU rRNA". It matches the Rfam family "Bacterial small subunit ribosomal RNA", at positions 8 to 820 of the family's 1533-position model. The record is from RNAcentral.
AGAGUUUGAUCCUGGCUCAGGAUGAACGCUGGCGGCGUGCCUAACACAUGCAAGUCGAACGGGGCGCGCAGGCUGAGGCUUUUCGGAGCGGAAGCCGGCGCUGUCCAGUGGCGGACGGGUGAGUAACGCGUGGGCAACCUGCCCUGCACUGGGGGACAACAGCCGGAAACGGCUGCUAAUACCGCAUAUGCCCGCAGCCCCGCAUGGGGCGGCGGGGGAAGCUCCGGCGGUGCAGGAUGGGCCCGCGUCUGAUUAGCUGGUUGGCGGGGCAACGGCCCACCAAGGCGACGAUCAGUAGCCGGCCUGAGAGGGUGGGCGGCCACAUUGGGACUGAGACACGGCCCAGACUCCUACGGGAGGCAGCAGUGGGGGAUAUUGCACAAUGGGGGGAACCCUGAUGCAGCGACGCCGCGUGGGCGAUGGAGUGCUUCGGCAUGUAAAGCCCUAUCAGCAGGGAAGAAAAUGACGGUACCUGACUAAGAAGCCCCGGCCAAAUACGUGCCAGCAGCCGCGGUAAUACGUAUGGGGCAAGCGUUAUCCGGAUUUACUGGGUGUAAAGGGAGCGUAGGCGGCCUGGCAAGCCUGAUGUGAAAUACCGGGGCCCAACCCCGGGGCUGCAUUGGGAACUGCCAGGCUGGAGUGCCGGAGAGGCAGGCGGAAUUCCUAGUGUAGCGGUGAAAUGCGUAGAUAUUAGGAGGAACACCAGUGGCGAAGGCGGCCUGCUGGACGGUGACUGACCGCUGAAGGCUCGAAAGCGUUGGGGAAGGCAAACAGGAUUAGAUACCCCUGGCAGUCCACCCCCGUAAAACCGAUGAAAACUAGG